CAGCCAAGAACCUGCUAGGAAUCCCUCUCUGCCCUAUCCCCUUUGCUCACCUAAACCCUCUCUUGCCUCUCAGCUUUCACUUCUCUGAUGAUCUCUGCGUGGGGGGUGGGGGGAGGUGUGUGUGUGUGGAUGCCGUUAGAAAGAGGCACCCUGGUGACCAGAUGGAACUAGGUGUGGGCAGUUUUGUGGCAGAUUGUUCCAGAGAGGUUGAUUCUCCAGCUUAGGCUCCAGAGUAUGAUUGGUGUUGGCUGGUGUCAUAGGAACAAUGUUCACAGCUGUCUCUGGGGUGGAGCUUUAAUUCCAUACAGGUGUUGAGUAGUAUCUCAGGGGGUGGGCUGCAGAAGCAGAGGAGAUACUGGUCUGUGUUGGCGGGUAGAGGGUAGGCAGAAGCAGAAGUGGUCCUAAUCCAUAUUGAGAGGAGCAGAAAAACUAGAAAUAGUCCUCAUCCAUAUGGAGGGCAAGGUGGGGGCAAAUAGUCAGUGCAGACGUGGCCCAGCUCUGCAUCUGGUAUCAGAGACAAGAGCUGGUCCUGGUUGGAGGUCGGGGGAGGCAGAGGCAGAAGUGGUGCUGGUGUGUUUUGGGGUUGAGCCAAAGGAGGAGGGUCCUUUUUUAAGGCUGUGCAGUGGCAAGAGGUCUCCCUUUGAUCUCAUCCGGCAGCCUCCAGAGAACCCUUCCCACAGUGCUUCCAUCAUCUUCCCCAUCAAAGAAUGUCCCCAACAGUCAGGUUCCCAGAGCUGACUUGGCCCGAAAGCGCGGACAGGGGCUUCUCUGGGUUUGCGAGAGCUCAGGACUGGUCCACGCGGCCUCAUGUGCAUAUUCAUUCACACUAUAUUUUUCCUUCCCCAGUUCUGCACACACAGCCUUCUGCCCUCUUUCAACGCUCCGCCACCCGCCUCCCCUCGGGGCGCCUGCAACCCGCGGUGACGCGGUUGGCAGGCUCGGCCUUAAAAAGUUCCCAGUCGGGCUCCGCCUCGCCGGCAGCCGGCUCCACCCUAAACCCAAAUCCCAGGCGGCCGCCGGCUCCUCCCAGAUCUGAGAACUACAAGUCCCGCCGACCCUUGCGCGCGCUCUCCCGCCUCUCCC
This 1083-nucleotide long non-coding RNA is filed under the name Equus asinus (donkey). RNAcentral's name for it is "lncRNA (ENSEASG00005038274.1)". The record is from RNAcentral. Lineage: Eukaryota; Metazoa; Chordata; Mammalia; Perissodactyla; Equidae.